RNAcentral lists this ribosomal RNA (732 nucleotides) under Triticum aestivum (bread wheat). RNAcentral describes it as "partial small subunit ribosomal RNA". The record is from RNAcentral. Lineage: Eukaryota; Viridiplantae; Streptophyta; Magnoliopsida; Poales; Poaceae.
AUGGAGCGCGCGCUGGCCGUCGCCUUGCUCGUCAUGCUCACGCUCUGGAGCGUGCCGGUGGCGGCCGGCGACGGAGGCAUUUCCCUGGCGCCGGAGGCGUGCCGCCUGGACCGGCUUCCCCGUGGCUCACCCGGAGACGCUACAACGGCUGAAAUCGGGAGAAUGAACAACAGAAUACUAUCGGGAAGAGACACAGGAGCUUUGACCAGAGGCUAUGUGAAGGAGCUCAAGGUUGCUGUGCCUAAAAAACCGGGGUUUAAAGCUUUUGUGAAUGCAACUUCUCAUAAUGCCAGUGGCUAUUGCAUUGAUAUCUUUGAGGCUGCUGCGAAGAAACUACCACAUGUUCUUCAUUAUGAGUUCGUUGCCGUUGAUGGUUCUUAUGACGAACUAGUACGCAACGUGUCUUCGGGGAACUACGAUGCAGUAGUGGGUGACAUAACUAUAACCGCAGCGCGAGCUGUAGACGUGGACUUCACGAUGCCAUACACCGAGUCAGGCGUGUCACUGCUUGUGCUCACCGAGAAUGACUCCAAGUCAGCAAUUGAAUGGGUGUUCCUAAAGCCACUAACAACACAACUUUGGUUAGCACUUAUGGGGGGAUUCUUCUUCACUGGACUUGUUGUGUGGACGAUCGAGUGGCCCAGAAACCCGGAGUACCAAGGAUCGAGUUUGAGACAGUGCAGCACUGCUCUCUACUUUUCUUUCUCGACUUUGACAUUUUCUCAUGGUUAA